ACCAGCCAACUGACAACAUCCUCUUCUUCUUCUUUUAAUAUUGUGCUCUUACUGUAUCUCAAACACCUUCAUGAUUUAAAGACUUAAAUAAAGAAUCAAAGAGUACGUCACGUCGUUGGAUUCAUCUGCAUCUGGAAUAAACACGAGAAGAUGACUCACCAUCUUAAAUCAAGCAACACAGCAGCAGCAGGAGCAUCAGGGUUAAAAGGGGAAAAAACAGUCCAAGGACCAAUGGCAGAGGAAAGGAGGAACCUUCAGAGCUGGACACUGCCAAAAUAAAAGAACAAAAUGGUUA
Non-coding RNA from Labrus bergylta (ballan wrasse), 295 nucleotides. NCBI's taxonomy places the organism in Eukaryota, Metazoa, Chordata, Actinopteri, Labriformes, Labridae. The record is from RefSeq and is a predicted model, not a curated record.